AACGAACGCUGGCGGCAUGCCUAACACAUGCAAGUCGAACGAAGCCUUCGGGCUUAGUGGCGCACGGGUGCGUAACGCGUGGGAAUCUGCCCUUGGGUUCGGAAUAACAGUUAGAAAUGACUGCUAAUACCGAAUGAUGUCUUCGGACCAAAGAUUUAUCGCCCAAGGAUGAGCCCGCGUCGGAUUAGCUAGUUGGUGAGGUAAAGGCUCACCAAGGCGACGAUCCGUAGCUGGUCUGAGAGGAUGAUCAGCCACACUGGGACUGAGACACGGCCCAGACUCCUACGGAGGCAGCAGUGGGGAAUAUUGGACAAUGGCGAAAGCCUGAUCCAGCAAUGCCGCGUGAGUGAUGAAGGCCUUAGGGUUGUAAAGCUCUUUUACCCGGGAUGAUAAUGACAGUACCGGAG
This 407-nucleotide ribosomal RNA is filed under the name uncultured bacterium. Its description in RNAcentral is "bacterial SSU rRNA". It matches the Rfam family "Bacterial small subunit ribosomal RNA", at positions 29 to 483 of the family's 1533-position model. The record is from RNAcentral.